UACGUAGGGUGCAAGCGUUAAUCGGAAUUACUGGGCGUAAAGCGUGCGCAGGCGGUGAUGUGAGACAGGUGUGAAAUCCCCGGGCUUAACCUGGGAACUGCAUUUGUGACUGCAUUGCUGGAGUGCGGCAGAGGGGGAUGGAAUUCCGCGUGUAGCAGUGAAAUGCGUAGAUAUGCGGAGGAACACCGAUGGCGAAGGCAAUCCCCUGGGCCUGCACUGACGCUCAUGCACGAAAGCGUGGGGAGCAAACAGG
This 253-nucleotide ribosomal RNA is filed under the name uncultured bacterium. RNAcentral describes it as "partial 16S ribosomal RNA". It matches the Rfam family "Bacterial small subunit ribosomal RNA", at positions 524 to 776 of the family's 1533-position model. The record is from RNAcentral.